Molecule: ribosomal RNA, 253 nt
Filed under: uncultured bacterium
Lineage: Bacteria
Description: partial 16S ribosomal RNA
Rfam family: Bacterial small subunit ribosomal RNA
Source: RNAcentral
UACAGAGGUCUCAAGCGUUGUUCGGAUUCAUUGGGCGUAAGGGGUGCGUAGGUGGCGCCGUAAGUCAGGUGUGAAAUUUCGGAGCUUAACUCCGAAACUGCAUUUGAUACUGCGGUGCUUGAGGACUGGAGAGGAGACUGGAAUUCACGGUGUAGCAGUGAAAUGCGUAGAUAUCGUGAGGAAGACCAGUGGCGAAGGCGGGUCUCUGGACAGUUCCUGACACUGAGGCACGAAGGCCAGGGGAGCAAACGGG